Molecule: ribosomal RNA, 465 nt
Filed under: uncultured Lactococcus sp.
Lineage: Bacteria; Bacillati; Bacillota; Bacilli; Lactobacillales; Streptococcaceae
Description: bacterial SSU rRNA
Rfam family: Bacterial small subunit ribosomal RNA
Source: RNAcentral
CCUACGGGCGGCUGCAGUAGGGAAUCUUCGGCAAUGGACGAAAGUCUGACCGAGCAACGCCGCGUGAGUGAAGAAGGUUUUCGGAUCGUAAAACUCUGUUGGUAGAGAAGAACGUUGGUGAGAGUGGAAAGCUCAUCAAGUGACGGUAACUACCCAGAAAGGGACGGCUAACUACGUGCCAGCAGCCGCGGUAAUACGUAGGUCCCGAGCGUUGUCCGGAAUUAUUGGGCGUAAAGCUAGCGCAGGUGCUUUCUUCGGUCUAGUCGAGCAGGCAGUGGCUCAACCAUUGUAUGCAUUGGAAGAUGGUAGACUUGAGUGCAGGAGAGAAACGUGGGCUUCCAUGUGUGGCGGUGGAAUGCGUAGAUAUAGGGAGGAACACCGGUGGCGACAGCGGCUCUCUGGCCUGUAACUGACACUGAGGCUCGAAAGCGUGGGGAGCAAACAGGAUUAGAUACCCCGGUAGUC